CCGUGGUUAAUUACUUGAAAAGAACGGCGGCGGUAGCACGGCGUAGUUCGUUGAUCGUUGGCUCAUGGUAACAGAAUUGUACUAAAAUAACAGCCUUCAUUGGCGGAUCGACGACACUGAGCUCAAGUCUAAACUGAAAAUCUGUGUAACUUCUUCACCAGAAGGCCUAGAAAGAAGCAAAACCCCUUUUUCCUCUAUUGACCAAUAGCACGCAAACACACACGGACUGACUCGCUUUCCAUUUCCUAUUCAAAAUUUUGAUUCCUUGAUCCUUCGGCCUGUUCUAGAGCCAACAACGCUCUCUCAAAUAUUUUUAUUUUUUUAUUUUAAUUAAUUUAUUCUCGUAUAGAUCAUAUAUCUAUAACAUCAAACGAUGUCUCCAGGUUCAUCUCUCUCACUCUCUCUCACUCUCAUACAAUCCAAGCGCUACUGUAUUUAAGCCUUAGCUUCUGAUUUCUUUACAGUUCGGAAACUCAUGGCUACCGUAUCCAAUUCGCUCUCUCUAAAGCACGGCUUAUCUCUCUGCUCUCCACACUUUUCUUCUCUCAAUCGAAGUUUCCGCACUCCUACUGUUGGAUAUCGAACUGUCUACCGGAACUACGUCGUCGCGUCCUCUGCCUUCUCAAAUGAGAAUCGAGAGUUUGUCAUCGUUGGUGGCGGGAAUGCGGCGGGAUAUGCUGCGCGGACUUUUGUCGAGCACGGAAUGGCCGAUGGAAGGCUCUGUAUUGCGACUAAGGAGCCACAUGCUCCCUAUGAGCGACCAGCUUUAACUAAAGGGUACUUGUUUCCUCUAGAUAAGAAGCCCGCGCGUUUGCCUGGAUUUCAUACUUGUGUUGGAUCUGGUGGCGAAAGGCAAACUUCAGAUUGGUAUAAAGAGAAAGGGAUUGAGAUGUUGUAUGAAGAUCCAGUGACAAGCAUUGAUAUUGAGAAGCAAACACUCACAACAAACUCAGGCAGGCUUCUCAAGUAUGGAACUCUUAUCAUUGCUACAGGAUGUACGGCAUCAAGAUUUCCAGAGAAAAUAGGAGGAAAUUUACCUGGUGUUCACUACAUCAGGGAUGUUGCAGAUGCUGAUGCAUUAAUAUCAUCUUUGGAGAUGGCACGGAAGGUGGUGGUCAUUGGUGGUGGUUACAUUGGCAUGGAGGUUGCGGCGGCAGCUGUUGGUUGGAAACUUGAUACUACAAUCAUUUUUCCAGAGAAGCAUCUUUUGCAAAGGUUAUUCACUCCUUCACUCGCUCAGAGAUAUGAAGAGUUAUACAAAGAGAAUGGUGUCAAAUUCUUAAAGGGUGCCUCUAUAAAAAACUUGGAAGCUGGUACAGAUGGACGGGUAGCUUCUGUUAAACUUGAAGAUGGAUCUAUUAUAGACGCAGACACGGUAAUAAUAGGUAUUGGGGCAAAGCCAGCUGUCAGUCCCUUUGAAAGAGUGGGGUUGAAUACCACUGUUGGUGGAAUACAGGUUGAUGGUUUGUUCAGGACAAAUAUAACUGGAAUUUUUUCAAUUGGAGAUGUCGCAGCAUUCCCCUUAAAGAUGUAUAACCGUACAGCAAGAGUUGAACAUGUAGACCAUGCUCGUAGAUCGGCACAGCAUUGUGUUAAAGCAUUACUUACUGCUCAGACUACCUUAUAUGAUUAUCUCCCAUACUUUUAUUCAAGGGUAUUUGAGUACGAAGGGAGCCCGAGAAAAAUAUGGUGGCAGUUUUUUGGAGACAAUGGUAUAAAUCUAUUAAGAGUUCUACGAUUUCAUUCUUGUGUCAUGUUUAAGGAAUAUUUCUCUAUUUGAUUAUCUUCUGUACAUUUUGUGAUUAUUUAACUCACUAUUACUUGUCUAAUUUGAAGUUGGAGAGACAAUAGAGAUUGGGAAUUUCGAUCCUAAGAUUGCAACUUUCUGGAUAGAUUCUGGUAAUACAAAUCAAGUCCACUUUCUCUCUCUCUCUCUCCCUCACAGGCAUUCCGGCACAAUCCUGCAUAGAUAAUUAUUUAUCAUUUGCGGGGAGAUAGUAUAGUUAAUUCUUGCUUUGCCACAGGCAAACUGAAAGGAGUUCUGCUUGAAAGUGGAAGUCCCGAGGUAUUCUUUCUAGGCCCAUUUAGAUUUGGGAGUUGGGAUUAGUGUAGAGCAGAUUUCUUCCCCCUCCCUUAUUUUUUAAGAUUUUAUUUUCCGAAAGUGACUUGGAUUAAUAUCAGUUUGAAGAACCUGCUCCCCCAUUUUCUUGCUCGUUCGCUGUUCUUGGUAAGUUCUACAAUGUUUUACUUUACCAAUGUUGUUAUGUGAUGUUUUAGGAAUUUCAACUUCUUCCGAAACUUGCAAGGAGCCAGCCUAGUGUUGAUAAAUCCAAACUUCAGAAAGCAUCUUCAGUUGAGGAGGCGCUACAAAUAGCUCAGGAAUCCCUACAAGCUGCAGUUUAGUUGAGAAUUACGUAGCCAGUUUUAAAUAUAAUAAAGUUUAUCGCUAAAAAUUUUUUUACAGUUGAUGCUUUAUGUUAUUGACAGUGGUUUAUAUUAGUAAGAUGUGACUUUCUAAAAUUUCCUAAUAAAUUUUAUUAUAAGUAUU
RNAcentral lists this unclassified non-coding RNA (2548 nucleotides) under Hevea brasiliensis (rubber tree). Lineage: Eukaryota; Viridiplantae; Streptophyta; Magnoliopsida; Malpighiales; Euphorbiaceae. The record is from RNAcentral.